RNAcentral lists this ribosomal RNA (327 nucleotides) under uncultured eukaryote. Its description in RNAcentral is "partial 18S ribosomal RNA". It matches the Rfam family "Eukaryotic small subunit ribosomal RNA", at positions 1470 to 1796 of the family's 1831-position model. The record is from RNAcentral.
CCCUUAGAUGUUCUGGGCCGCACGCGCGCUACACUGACGAAUGCAACGAGCUUAUAACCUUGGCCGAAAGGUCUGGGUAAUCUCCAAAUUUCGUCGUGAUGGGGAUAGAUUAUUGCAAUUAUUAAUCUUCAACGAGGAAUGCCUAGUAAGCGCAAGUCAUCAGCUUGCGUUGAUUACGUCCCUGCCCUUUGUACACACCGCCCGUCGCUCCUACCGAUUGAAUGGUCCGGUGAAGCGUUCGGACCGUGGGCUUUGGACGGUUCGCCGUCUGUUGGCUGCGGGAAGUUCGUUAAACCUUAUCAUUUAGAGGAAGGAGAAGUCGUAACA